This 873-nucleotide unclassified non-coding RNA is filed under the name uncultured Synechococcus sp. RNAcentral's name for it is "partial may contain 16S ribosomal RNA, 16S-23S ribosomal RNA intergenic spacer, and 23S ribosomal RNA". The stretch from base 348 to 420 matches the Rfam family "tRNA". Lineage: Bacteria; Bacillati; Cyanobacteriota; Cyanophyceae; Synechococcales; Synechococcaceae. The record is from RNAcentral.
CGUCGAAGGUGGGGCUGAUGACUGGGGUGAAGUCGUAACAAGGUAUCCGUACCGGAAGGUGCGGAUGGAUCACCUCCUAACAGGGAGACAACACAAUGAUUUUGAUGCCUGAGUGCUUUUAUUCUUAGGCCGAAAUCCUGUCACCUUAGGUCGAUCGGUACCUCAGCUUUGAAGUCAAGGAUCAGCAGCAAUGUUGAUUGCUUGAUGGAGAUUUUCAGUUCCUAAACUUUGUCUAGGUCACACCCCAAAAGGGAUGAGACUCCUGGGCCAUUAGCUCAGGUGGUUAGAGCGCACCCCUGAUAAGGGUGAGGUCCCUGGUUCAAGUCCAGGAUGGCCCAUUCGGUGUUGGGGGUUUAGCUCAGUUGGUAGAGCGCCUGCUUUGCAAGCAGGAUGUCAGGAGUUCGAGUCUCCUAACCUCCACUGACCGAACUUGAUUCCCAUCUCCAAUUUUUUUGGAGUUGAGCUCGAUUGGAGUGUGAUUUAGAUGUGUCCGCUGGAUGACCCCAGCUUCCUGUCAUUCCAAGUUUUAGGUUGAAUCCUUGAAUUUGGUUGAUAAGAUGCUGGGCUCGGAUCAAAUAAUCAAGCAAUUGAUGAUUUGAUUUGAAGUUCUAGCAGAACCUUGACAACUGCAUAGGUGAGUCUGGAAAAAACAAAGCAUCUUACAGAUGCAUUGUUUUGAAUCCGAUCUUCUGAAAGGGAGAUUGGAUCUAGAACAAUGAAAAUUCUUUUGAGCAAGAGCCGAGACUCUUGAGCGUUCUUUGAUUGGUGUCGAGCCAAUCAGAGUUUGAUCUUGUUUUUAGCAAUAAAAACUUGAGAAUCUGCUUUCAACGGCGGUAAGCGUUCAGGAGGUUAAUUGGUCAAGCUACAAAGGGC